This is a long non-coding RNA of Sciurus carolinensis (gray squirrel), 723 nucleotides long. RefSeq lists it as uncharacterized. NCBI's taxonomy places the organism in Eukaryota, Metazoa, Chordata, Mammalia, Rodentia, Sciuridae. The record is from RefSeq and is a predicted model, not a curated record. The transcript has 3 exons.
GAGGCUGGGUCGCGGCCAGACCCAGCCGUUUGCGCUAGGCCCCUCGCGGGGUGCGGCAGGUCGCCAGCGGAGGACCUCUUGGGGGCGCGACCCGGUCUCGGGUGGUUCCAGUGACACUGCUGGGAAAGAAAAGAGCCGCCGAGAGCCCCUCUUUCCGGAGCCACGUCGGCUUGCUGGAACUCAGGGUCGAGGUGUACCAUCCUGUAUAUGUAGUAGAGGCAGAACGGCCAAAAGACCAAGUGGGUGUGUGGGCCUGACUCUGAUCUUGAUCUUGGAGUUGGUCCACGCAGACCGACCAGCCUGACGCCCUGCAUUGGCCCAGACACACAGUUCUAUGAGGACUUCGAAGCCAAGAAGGAGUUAACCUGGCAUCCUCUGGAGUCACCUCAAGUCUUCUGAUUCUCUUGGGUCAGUGAUAGUUCUUCCUGGACCCUGAUGUGACCCUGAGAAAACUGGCUCCACUUUCAGUCCUGGGAGGUGAUGCUGGGGAUCAAGCUCAGGGCCUCCCACAUGCCAGGCAAGUGCUCUACCACUGAGCCACAUCCCCAACCCUCCUGGAGAUUCUUUAAGAAGGAAUAGAGGAGGGUUUGUAAUAAGUCCAGAAGGGUGUUCCUGCCUAAAUCUAAAUUUUUACUCCAAUUUUAUUAAUACAAGCACUUCUAUCCUUUCAGCACUCCUUUGUUCACAGUUGUAUAUACUGCUCUGAAAACAAUGUUUGGUCCA